This 470-nucleotide ribosomal RNA is filed under the name uncultured prokaryote. RNAcentral describes it as "partial 16S ribosomal RNA". The record is from RNAcentral.
CCCUAUGGGGCGCGGCAGGGAUUUGGCCGAACAGGCCAUUACGGCGGCCGAUUAUGAAAAGACGCUGAUGUGGUUUUAUCAGGAAAGCCUGACGUGCGAAAUUCAGCUCAAGGCCACCUGCGCGCCGCAUUAUUUCCGUAUCAUGCGACAGAACAAGCCCAGAGGAGGCAAGCCGGUCAAAAAAGCGGGAGGCCAUUUUCACGAAUCCACCCGCGGGUGUCUGGGGGGAAUUACAUUUUGUUUCAUUUCCCAUGUCGGACAGGUGCAGCCCUGUGGCUAUCUCGAACUGGAUUGCGGAAAUGGGCAAAAGCAGAGUUUUGGGUACAUCUGGGAGACCUCCGCGGUGUUUCGCAAUCUACGCGAUUACAGCAAGUAUGGCGGCAAAUGCGGCCGUUGUGAAUUUAUCAAAGUCUGCGGCGGCUGCCGCGCGCGGGCGUAUGAGGCGACGGGGGACUAAUUGGCGGGGGAGC